This 440-nucleotide ribosomal RNA is filed under the name uncultured bacterium. RNAcentral's name for it is "partial 16S ribosomal RNA". It matches the Rfam family "Bacterial small subunit ribosomal RNA", at positions 338 to 795 of the family's 1533-position model. The record is from RNAcentral.
CCUACGGGUGGCAGCAGUGAGGGAUAUUGCACAAUGGGGGAAACCCUGAUGCAGCAACGCCGCGUGUGGGAAGAAGGUUUUCUGAUUGUAAACCACUGUUCUUGGGGAAGAUAAUGACGGUAACCAAGGAUACCUCUCCGGCUACCUCCGUUCCAGCAGCCGCGGUAAUACGUAGGGAGCAAGCGUUGUCCGGAUUUACUGGGUGUAAAGGGUGCGUAGGCGGUCUUGCAAGUCAGACGUGAAAACCACAGGCUCAACCUGUGGACUGCGUUUGAAACUGUGGGGCUGGAGUGAAGUAGAGGUAGGCGGAAUGCCUGGUGUAGCGGUGAAAUGCGUAGAGAUCGGGAGGAACACCAGUGGCGAAGGCGGCCUACUGGGCUUUAACUGACGCUGAGGCACGAAAGCAUGGGUAGCAAACAGGAUUAGAUACCCCUGUAGUC